UAGGGAAUCUUCCGCAAUGGGCGAAAGCCUGACGGAGCAACGCCGCGUGAGUGAUGAAGGUCUUCGGAUCGUAAAACUCUGUUAUUAGGGAAGAACAAAUGUGUAAGUAACUAUGCACAUCUUGACGGUACCUAAUCAGAAAGCCACGGCUAACUACGUGCCAGCAGCCGCGGUAAUACGUAGGUGGCAAGCGUUAUCCGGAAUUAUUGGGCGUAAAGCGCGCGUAGGCGGUUUUUUAAGUCUGAUGUGAAAGCCCACGGCUCAACCGUGGAGGGUCAUUGGAAACUGGAAAACUUGAGUGCAGAAGAGGAAAGUGGAAUUCCAUGUGUAGCGGUGAAAUGCGCAGAGAUAUGGAGGAACACCAGUGGCGAAGGCGACUUUCUGGUCUGUAACUGACGCUGAUGUGCGAAAGCGUGGGUAGCAAACAGG
Molecule: ribosomal RNA, 429 nt
Filed under: Bacteroidota bacterium
Lineage: Bacteria; Pseudomonadati; Bacteroidota
Description: Bacteroidetes bacterium partial 16S ribosomal RNA
Rfam family: Bacterial small subunit ribosomal RNA
Source: RNAcentral